RNAcentral lists this long non-coding RNA (1162 nucleotides) under Homo sapiens (human). Its description in RNAcentral is "HSALNT0331918". The record is from RNAcentral. Lineage: Eukaryota; Metazoa; Chordata; Mammalia; Primates; Hominidae.
CAGGUGUAUGCAUGUCUGUUCGUAUGUUGUCUACAUAAUACCAAGUUGACUUCGUUUGUUCGUUCGUGUGUUUUUGUUGAGCUACCGGGCCUGGCCCCACAUUGACUUUUAAAUAAAUAGCAUUGAGUCAUGGAUCCAUAUUUCUCAUUUAAAAAGAAGGCUCUUGAUCCUUCUACCAAGUGAACCGCCCAACUGGUCACUGAUAUCAAGCUCAAGUUAAUCAAACUACAGCCACCAGGACAAGAAGAAGACAACAUCUGGGGUAGACUGCUUUCUCCCAAGAUACCAGAGCAGAUAUCUGCAUGAGACCCUCACCAGGAUCGUGCUGACCCAAGACCUUGAGACUUUAGACUCAUUCCAGCUGGAAACGGAAGCCAGCUUAAGCCAAGAGAUGUUAAUUCAUAUUUAACAGGUGCCUGAGUGCCUCUCAUAAGUAAAUGGCUCUAGUUGCUCAGUUGAUCACUGCCUUGUCAAAGGAUCUCUGCACGGGACUAGAAGAAUCUGGAACAGGUUGCCAGCCACUCUAGCACGAUGAUGGGAUGCAACCAACCUAAUCAAUCAUCAGUGCUGUCUGCUGACAGGUUUUGAUAAACGGGGGGCGUGGGGGGAAUGUGAACCUUGAAAGAGCCAAUCCCUCGGAUGAAUCCUGAGUGGCUAAUAGCCUAAUUUCAAAAGAGCCAAGUGGCCAUUUGCUUACUAGAGGUCGCACACAUACUUGGAGUUCCUGGAAAACCUGCAUGUCUGCUUAGGGGCUUUCAUAGCUGCCUGUUCAUGUUUGUGCUGCCUGAGCCAACCAAUAGACUGUGACCUAUGUCAACCAAUCAGAACUCAGCAAGUGUUGACCAAUCAGAACUCACCAAACAUCAACCGGUCAGAACUAAGCAAGUUUGAAUCCUUUAUUUGACUAAGUGGACCUGAGUGGAACCUGGAUGGGAUCUUUCACUAUAAAAGAAAAACCUUCCCUUUGCUCUCUGGAACGUACCUUCAUUUUACACUGAAGGCUGUGUCUCUUCGGUUUGCCAACUGUUACUGGAAUAAAGUCUCUUUCCUCUAAAUUCUCUUUCAGAGAAUUUUGUUCACAGGAUAAAAGUCAUACCCAUCCCACUGGUCCAAGUUGAGGAUUAGCUGUGUCGAGUCAUGUAAAAUAGUUCAUUUAGGUAGG